CCUACGGGAGGCUGCAGUGAGGAAUAUUGGUCAAUGGGCGCGAGCCUGAACCAGCCAAGUAGCGUGAAGGAUGACUGCCCUACGGGUUGUAAACUUCUUUUAUAAAGGAAUAAAGUGAGGCACGUGUGCCUUUUUGUAUUUACUUUAUGAAUAAGGAUCGGCUAACCCCGGGCCAGCAGCCGCGGUAAUACAGAGGAUCCGAGCGUUAUCCGGAUUUGUUGGGUUUAAAGGGAGCGUAGAUGGGUUGUUAAGUCAGUUGUGAAAGCUUUCGGCUCAACCGUAAAAUUGCAAUUGAUACUGGCAGUCUUGAGUGCAGUUGAGGUAGGAGGAAUUCGUGGUGUAGCGGUGAAAUGCUUAGAUAUCACGAAGAACACCGAUUGCGAAGGCAGCUUACUAAACUGCCACUGACGUUGAUGCUCGAAAGUGUGGGUAUCAAACAGGAUUAGAUACCCGAGUAGUC
RNAcentral lists this ribosomal RNA (460 nucleotides) under uncultured bacterium. RNAcentral's name for it is "partial 16S ribosomal RNA". It matches the Rfam family "Bacterial small subunit ribosomal RNA", at positions 338 to 795 of the family's 1533-position model. The record is from RNAcentral.